Non-coding RNA from Dermacentor albipictus, 360 nucleotides. NCBI's taxonomy places the organism in Eukaryota, Metazoa, Arthropoda, Arachnida, Ixodida, Ixodidae. The record is from RefSeq and is a predicted model, not a curated record.
CGUCGUGUUCUGUUUGGCUCUAUCGGUGGCCCAAGCGAUCCUGCUCAAGGCCCUUGGAGCAGGUGCUCUGGGCUUUGGUGCUGGAGCUCUUCUCGGCAGCGCACUGUCCCAUGGUGGUGGCGGCGGUGGUGGAGGCUACUACCCUUACCCAUACGGCCGUGGUUACGGUGGUGGCUAUGGUGGUGGAUUCGGAUUCCACGGAUAGAAGCGCUGUGUUUAUCAUUUUGCCACGACCUACAGAUGGAGAAGUUUCACAUUCAGGACCAGAAUCAGCAUUCAACGACGUCUACAUUAUGAUCUAGAAAAUGUAUCGCUUACUAUUUAUCAGCCAAUAAAAAAUAUUUAUUUUUCUAAGCGCAA